RNAcentral lists this ribosomal RNA (400 nucleotides) under uncultured bacterium. RNAcentral's name for it is "bacterial SSU rRNA". It matches the Rfam family "Bacterial small subunit ribosomal RNA", at positions 355 to 772 of the family's 1533-position model. The record is from RNAcentral.
UGGGGAAUAUUGGACAAUGGGGGCAACCCUGAUCCAGCAAUGCCGCGUGAGUGAUGAAGGCCUUCGGGUUGUAAAGCUCUUUUGCCAGGGACGAUGAUGACGGUACCUGGAGAAUAAGCCCCGGCUAACUUCGUGCCAGCAGCCGCGGUAAUACGGAGGGGGCUAGCGUUGUUCGGAAUUACUGGGCGUAAAGCGCACGUAGGCGGACUGGAAAGUCAGAGGUGAAAUCCCAGGGCUCAACCUUGGAACUGCCUUUGAAACUCCCGGUCUUGAGGUCGAGAGAGGUGAGUGGAAUUCCGAGUGUAGAGGUGAAAUUCGUAGAUAUUCGGAGGAACACCAGUGGCGAAGGCGGCUCACUGGCUCGAUACUGACGCUGAGGUGCGAAAGCGUGGGGAGCAAA